This 494-nucleotide ribosomal RNA is filed under the name uncultured bacterium. Its description in RNAcentral is "partial 16S ribosomal RNA". It matches the Rfam family "Bacterial small subunit ribosomal RNA", at positions 28 to 507 of the family's 1533-position model. The record is from RNAcentral.
GACGAACGCUGGCGGCGUGCUUAACACAUGCAAGUCGAACGGAAAGGCCUGCUUUCCCUUGUGGAUUGCGGGUACUCGAGUGGCGAACGGGUGAGUAACACGUGAGUGAUCUGCCCCCAACUUGGGUAUAAGCCUGGGAAACUGGGUCUAAUUCCCGAUAGGACUGCAGGGUGGUGCCUGUGGUGGAAAACGAUUUUCUAGUGGUUGGGGAUGAGCUCGCGGCCUAUCAGCUUGUUGGUGGGGUAAUGGCCUACCAAGGCGGCGACGGGUAGCCGGCCUGAGAGGGUGGACGGGCACAGUGGGACUGAGAUACGGCCCAGACUCCUACGGGAGGCAGCAGUGGGGAAUAUUGCACAAUGGGCGGAAGCCUGAUGCAGCGACGCCGCGUGGGGGAUGACGGCCUUCGGGUUGUAAACUCCUUUCGACCGCGAGGAAGCCACCUGGUUGGAAGGGUGGUGACGGUAGUGGUAGAAGAAGCACCGGCUAACUACGUG